CUGGUUGAUCCUGCCAGUAGUCAUAUGCUUGUCUCAAAGAUUAAGCCACAUGUCUAAGUAUAAACUGCUUUAUACUGUGAAACUGCGAAUGGCUCAUUAAAUCAGUUAUAGUUUAUUUGAUGGUACUUACUUACUCGGAUACCCGUAGUAAUUCUAGAGCUAAUACGUGCGUACAUCCCGACUUCUGGAAGGGACGUAUUUAUUAGAUAAAAGGCCGACCGGGCUUGCCCGACUCGCGGUGACUCAUGAUAACUUCACGAAUCGCAUGGCCUUGCGCCGGCGAUGUUUCAUUCAAAUUUCUGCCCUAUCAACUUUUGAUGGUAGGAUAGAGGCCUACCAUGGUGGUAACGGGUGACGGAGAAUUAGGGUUCGAUUCCGGAGAGGGAGCCUGAGAAACGGCUACCACAUCCAAGGAAGGCAGCAGGCGCGCAAAUUACCCAAUCCUGAUACAGGGAGGUAGUGACAAUAAAUAACAAUACCGGGCCUUUGGUCUGGUAAUUGGAAUGAGUACAACCUAAACACCUUAACGAGGAUCAAUUGGAGGGCAAGUCUGGU
RNAcentral lists this ribosomal RNA (555 nucleotides) under uncultured eukaryote. RNAcentral's name for it is "SSU rRNA". It matches the Rfam family "Eukaryotic small subunit ribosomal RNA", at positions 4 to 565 of the family's 1831-position model. The record is from RNAcentral.